This 600-nucleotide ribosomal RNA is filed under the name bacterium enrichment culture clone F61x_D26_T3_B04. RNAcentral's name for it is "bacterial SSU rRNA". It matches the Rfam family "Bacterial small subunit ribosomal RNA", at positions 325 to 918 of the family's 1533-position model. The record is from RNAcentral.
AACGGCCCAGACUCCUACGGGAGGCAGCAGUGGGGAAUUUUGGACAAUGGGCGCAAGCCUGAUCCAGCAAUGCCGCGUGAGUGAAGAAGGCCUUCGGGUUGUAAAGCUCUUUUGUCAGGGAAGAAACGGUUCGGGUUAAUACCUUGGGCUAAUGACGGUACCUGAAGAAUAAGCACCGGCUAACUACGUGCCAGCAGCCGCGGUAAUACGUAGGGUGCAAGCGUUAAUCGGAAUUACUGGGCGUAAAGCGUGCGCAGGCGGUUGUGCAAGACAGAUGUGAAAUCCCCGGGCUCAACCUGGGAAUUGCAUUUGUGACUGUACGGCUAGAGUGUGUCAGAGGGGGGUAGAAUUCCACGUGUAGCAGUGAAAUGCGUAGAGAUGUGGAGGAAUACCGAUGGCGAAGGCAGCCCCCUGGGAUAACACUGACGCUCAUGCACGAAAGCGUGGGGAGCAAACAGGAUUAGAUACCCUGGUAGUCCACGCCCUAAACGAUGUCUACUAGUUGUCGGGUCUUUAUUGACUUGGUAACGCAGCUAACGCGUGAAGUAGACCGCCUGGGGAGUACGGUCGCAAGAUUAAAACUCAAAGGAAUUGACGGAA